ACGCCAAACAGGAAAACUCGGUACAGCUCGCCCAUUUCUAGCACUUUGCUUUUUUAACAAAUAGUAUAAAGUUUUGAACCCCCGAUAUCGACGAUAAACCACCCAAGGUGAGACAUGCAAAUGAACGGGACGAACAGUGAUAAUAAACUUGAGCAUUUUUUUAUCUUUAAUAAGGGUAUUUAGGGAAGCCUCCUUCAAAAAUUGAUAAUGAAGUUCAAUGUGAGCUUCGUAAAAAGCAUCGUCAAAUGAUAACUUC
Molecule: non-coding RNA, 256 nt
Organism: Schizosaccharomyces pombe (fission yeast)
Lineage: Eukaryota; Fungi; Ascomycota; Schizosaccharomycetes; Schizosaccharomycetales; Schizosaccharomycetaceae
Source: the annotation of a GenBank genome assembly